AUUUAAAUAGUUUAAUUUAAAAUAUUGAUUUGUGGCGUCAAUGAUGUAAGAUAUUACUUUAAAUA
RNAcentral lists this transfer RNA (65 nucleotides) under Sophrops subrugatus. RNAcentral's name for it is "tRNA-His". It matches the Rfam family "tRNA". Rfam says of the family: Transfer RNA (tRNA) molecules are approximately 80 nucleotides in length. Their secondary structure includes four short double-helical elements and three loops (D, anti-codon, and T loops). The record is from RNAcentral. Lineage: Eukaryota; Metazoa; Arthropoda; Insecta; Coleoptera; Scarabaeidae.